GCCGGCCCCCAAAGAGUGCACAGAUGCUCUGUGUGGGGUCGACUCAUCCUUUUUUAAGACUGCUGGUCUAGGAAAAGGAAAGGAAUAUUGUCAUGACUCAUACCUGAGCCAGAGGAGGAGGGGGGAGUUCACUGGGGUGAAUCCUUGACAGUAAAAGAUUCACAGUAGGCCGCCACCAUCCACUUUAUUUUGAUGUGGAACAAACCACUCUUUCCACAUAAGAUUCCUAGGGGAGGUUAUAGUGGCAAAACGCUCCCCAAAAAGGCUGAGCAGUCCUCGGCCUCCAAAGGUGUGUGACUAAGGCAGACGCAAAAUGAAGAGUAGCACACUUCAGCAACAAGGAUUUAUUCUUAGAUUAAUAGAAAAAAGGAAAGGCCCACCCUCCCAGCAGUAGCUCUAGUGAGGCCUAAUCCUCCCUCAAAGCCUUUCCAUCGCUCUACAUAUGAAGAUAUACAGUCUUUUGGGGAUGCUGAUUUUGAGGCAGAUGAUGAGUGUGGAUUUGAACCCGUUUUGGCAGUGCAGUGAAAUUUGGUACAAACAACAGAAAACCUCUGUUACAAUCAGCAGAGGAAUAACCAAUGGAGGGAAACAGAAGGUGUGACAUAAACAUUCUACUAAACAUGUGAGGAAUCAAAAGGCCUUUUGCAGUUUUUUUCCUUUUCUUUAUAGGGAGGCCUGAGAAACCUGAGAAAGGCAAAAGGAGAGUAAUAAAACUCGCAAGGUUAUGAGGUGGUCUAAAUCUUAUACGUUGUACGUUGUAUUGCUCAUCAGCAGUGGUGUGUGUGUGAGUGAGAGAGAGAGAGAAUGUUGAGUGUGUUUGACUUACAGCCAUUUUUGGAUCUUUAUUUUUAUUUAUUUAAUUCAAUUUCUAAACUGCCCUGUCAUAGAUGUCAUAGUCAGAUCACGUAUAGCACAUUGGAUGCAGAGUCAAAGGUGGCAAUACUAAAAACUCUGAUUGGCUAAGUUUAUGCAGAUAUUAUUCAGCAUGUGUGGCCUUAUGAUGUGGGCAGGGGACAGCGGUCUAAGGCCUAUCCCUUGUGGUUUGGAUUUUGUUAAUAGUGACUGUCUACAUUUGCCAGACUUCAUUUAGAGCUUUGGGUUACAGAAGUUGUUGGCGCUUCCUUGCUGGCUGAGAUUAUUCUUAUGUUCUACAAGAGAUGGAGGACAUAAUUUGUUAGAGCAACCCCUUUUGGACACAAAUUAUAAAAUUAUACAAUCCACUGUGGAUGUACUGUUUCAUGAGUAGAUUUAUCCUGGAAUAUUGGGUUGACUGAAGUAUGAUUUCAACAUUUCAGUCAUCAAAAUGCAAUUAACACUCAAGAAUCAGAUCAAUAGUUCACAAGACAAUAUGAUCCAAAUUUUAGUAUUAUUCAAAUUUAUCAGAUAAAUCCUCGAUUUUGUGUUGCUUGGGUUAUGUUUUAAAAUGGCUGCUUGUCCCCCAUUUUGUGUUUGCUAUGAAAACUUUAAACGAUCAAGGCUGUUAUUUUCUGUAAGAGUUAAUUUCUGCCUGGAGUUUAUUAUUUUUCAUCUGGUUUGUGUUAGCCAUGAUUGUGUAAUUCCAGAGGAAGUGGGCGAAGUUGCAAAUAUAAAAGAGGGAAGUUGGAGCACCUAGUCGAGCUGAUCUCAUUUUAUGAAAGCUGGUUGAAUUCUUCAAGAGUUGAGUGCAGUGAAAUCACUUAGAGCUGGAACUCACCAAGAAGGCUACUGAAACUCUUUGAACACACAGCUGUCAAUUUCAGAGCAGCUGAGAGAAAAAACUGCAGCAGAAACAGACCAUAUUGGACAGAGAGAGAAAGAGAGGAACUGGCUUCUCAGCAAAGAGAGAGAGAGCUAUCCAAAAAGGCCAGUGGUGCAAAUCCUGGUUGGGCACAGUAUUGAGUAUAGAAUGGCUUGAUGCAUUUAUCUCAAUUUCAUUUGUUCCUUCUUGCUUGCAUGAAAAAUAAAGAAUUACACUUGGUUGUAGUGGUAAAGCUUACCAAUUCAAAGGGCUGGCUACUCUAGCAUUGACAAACAUAUAUGGUAAUUAUUCAGUAAGACAAAUCAUGUUUGAAGCUGAAAUCCUACAAAUUUCAACUGUCAUUUUACUUCCCUUUUGCAAGCACAUUAAUAAAACAUUCUCAUACCUCA
Hemicordylus capensis (graceful crag lizard) is the source of this 2127-nucleotide long non-coding RNA. RefSeq lists it as uncharacterized. NCBI's taxonomy places the organism in Eukaryota, Metazoa, Chordata, Lepidosauria, Squamata, Cordylidae. The record is from RefSeq and is a predicted model, not a curated record. The transcript has 3 exons.